This 243-nucleotide long non-coding RNA is filed under the name Trifolium pratense (red clover). RNAcentral describes it as "long non-coding RNA (TPRA_LNC002232)". Lineage: Eukaryota; Viridiplantae; Streptophyta; Magnoliopsida; Fabales; Fabaceae. The record is from RNAcentral.
GGAGAUUUCCCCCUUUGUGUUACUUUCCCGCGGUUGUAUUCUCUAUCCUUGCAAAAAUUUGCGAGUGUGAGUGAAGUGGUGGAGACAAUGGAGGGUGAGGGUCGAAGGGGAAAUUUGAUUUGGAGACGACCUUUCUUUCAAUGGGAGGAGGAAAGUGUGGAGCUUCUUAGGGUCACAAUUGAUAAUUUGACUCUUUCCCAUGAGGAGGAUAAGUGGUGUUGGUCCUUUAAUCCGGAAGGGUGU